AGGACGAACGCUGGCGGCGUGCUUAACACAUGCAAGUCGAGCGGUGAUCCUCCUUCGGGAGGUGAUCAGCGGCGAACGGGUGAGUAACACGUGGGCAACCUGCCCCUCACACUGGGAUAACCUCGGGAAACCGGGGCUAAUACCGGAUACGACCUCUGAGGGCAUCCUCUAAGGUGUAAAGGAUUCUGGCUAGGGAUGGGCCCGCGGCCUAUCAGCUUGUUGGUGGGGUAAUGGCCUACCAAGGCGACGACGGGUA
RNAcentral lists this ribosomal RNA (256 nucleotides) under uncultured bacterium. RNAcentral's name for it is "partial small subunit ribosomal RNA". It matches the Rfam family "Bacterial small subunit ribosomal RNA", at positions 26 to 285 of the family's 1533-position model. The record is from RNAcentral.